RNAcentral lists this ribosomal RNA (549 nucleotides) under uncultured bacterium. Its description in RNAcentral is "bacterial SSU rRNA". It matches the Rfam family "Bacterial small subunit ribosomal RNA", at positions 355 to 896 of the family's 1533-position model. The record is from RNAcentral.
UGGGGAAUAUUGGACAAUGGGCGCAAGCCUGAUCCAGCCAUGCCGCGUGUGUGAAGAAGGCCUUCGGGUUGUAAAGCACUUUCAGCGAGGAGGAAGGGUUAGUCGUUAAUAGCGGCUAAUUUUGACGUUACUCGCAGAAGAAGCACCGGCUAACUCUGUGCCAGCAGCCGCGGUAAUACAGAGGGUGCAAGCGUUAAUCGGAAUUACUGGGCGUAAAGCGCACGUAGGCGGUUUUUUAAGUCAGAUGUGAAAGCCCCGGGCUCAACCUGGGAAUUGCAUUUGAAACUGGGGAACUAGAGUGUGUGAGAGGGGGGUAGAAUUCCAAGUGUAGCGGUGAAAUGCGUAGAGAUUUGGAGGAAUACCAGUGGCGAAGGCGGCCCCCUGGCACAACACUGACGCUCAGGUGCGAAAGCGUGGGGAGCAAACAGGAUUAGAUACCCUGGUAGUCCACGCCGUAAACGAUGUCUACUAGCUGUUCGUGUCCUUGUGAUGUGAGUAGCGCAGCUAACGCACUAAGUAGACCGCCUGGGGAGUACGGUCGCAAGAUUA